GAUGAACGCUAGAUACAGGCUUAACACAUGCAAGUCGAGGGGUGACGAGAGGAAAGCUUGCUUUCCUUGUCGACGACCGGCGCACGGGUGAGUAACGCGUACCCAACCUGCCCCCAACUAGGGAAUAACCUUGCGAAAGUAAGACUAAUACCCUAUAAUUUCCUCAGAUGUCAUCUGACGAGGAAUAAAGAUUUAUCGGUUGAGGAUGGGGAUGCGUCUGAUUAGCUUGUUGGCGGGGUAACGGCCCACCAAGGCAACGAUCAGUAGGGGUUCUGAGAGGAAGGUCCCCCACAUUGGAACUGAGACACGGUCCAAACUCCUACGGGAGGCAGCAGUGAGGAAUAUUGGUCAAUGGGCGGAAGCCUGAACCAGCCAAGUAGCGUGCAGGAUGACGGCCCUAUGGGUUGUAAACUGCUUUUAUACAGGAAUAAAGUUAGCCACGUGUGGUUAUUUGUAGGUACUGUAUGAAUAAGGACCGGCUAAUUCCGUGCCAGCAGCCGCGGUAA
This 506-nucleotide ribosomal RNA is filed under the name uncultured bacterium. RNAcentral describes it as "partial 16S ribosomal RNA". It matches the Rfam family "Bacterial small subunit ribosomal RNA", at positions 28 to 523 of the family's 1533-position model. The record is from RNAcentral.